GUCAGGGUAGCCUAGUGGACAUGGCAUCUGCCCGGUAAGCGGAACACUGUGGGUUCGAUUCCCGUCCCUGAACA
Non-coding RNA from Cordylochernes scorpioides, 74 nucleotides. The record is from the annotation of a GenBank genome assembly. NCBI's taxonomy places the organism in Eukaryota, Metazoa, Arthropoda, Arachnida, Pseudoscorpiones, Chernetidae.